GCUAUAAUAAUCUUGAAGACAAGUUAGAUGGAACAGAACCUUUUAAGCGAGUGCUGGUUGGUGGAAAGAGCACAAAGGUGGUUAAUCUAAUACUCCUUCCUGGUUUUUAUGUAAACAUAAAAGGGUGGCUCCCUUAUCGCCAAUAGAGGUGCAAGGCAUGUUUUUUUGUCCUGCAUAAAUUAAGGUGGAACCACGCUGAUUGCGUCCUUUGG
RNAcentral lists this non-coding RNA (212 nucleotides) under Streptococcus canis. Lineage: Bacteria; Bacillati; Bacillota; Bacilli; Lactobacillales; Streptococcaceae. The record is from RNAcentral.